GGUGUUCGGGUUGUCAUGCCAAUGGCACUGCCCGGUAGCUAAAUGCGGAAGAGAUAAGUGCUGAAAGCAUCUAAGCACGAAACUUGCCCCGAGAUGAGUUCUCCCUGACUCCUUGAGAGUCCUGAAGGAACGUUGAAGACGACGACGUUGAUAGGCCGGGUGUGUAAGCGCAGCGAUGCGUUGAGCUAACCGGUACUAAUGAACCGUGAGGCUUAACCUU
Molecule: ribosomal RNA, 220 nt
Filed under: Escherichia coli
Lineage: Bacteria; Pseudomonadati; Pseudomonadota; Gammaproteobacteria; Enterobacterales; Enterobacteriaceae
Also listed under: 1 other name
Description: partial 23S ribosomal RNA
Rfam family: Bacterial large subunit ribosomal RNA
Source: RNAcentral